This 253-nucleotide ribosomal RNA is filed under the name uncultured bacterium. RNAcentral describes it as "partial 16S ribosomal RNA". It matches the Rfam family "Bacterial small subunit ribosomal RNA", at positions 524 to 776 of the family's 1533-position model. The record is from RNAcentral.
UACGUAGGGCGCAAGCGUUUGUCCGGAAUUAUUGGGCGUAAAGAGCUUGUAGGCGGUUUGUCGCGUCUGCUGUGAAAAUCCGGGGCUCAACCCCGGACUUGCAGUGGGUACGGGCAGACUAGAGUGUGGUAGGGGAGACUGGAAUUCCUGGUGUAGCGGUGAAAUGCGCAGAUAUCAGGAGGAACACCGAUGGCGAAGGCAGGUCUCUGGGCCACUACUGACGUGAGAAGCGAAAGCAUGGGGAGCGAACAGG